This 632-nucleotide long non-coding RNA is filed under the name Brachypodium distachyon (stiff brome). RNAcentral's name for it is "long non-coding RNA (BDIS_LNC002642)". Lineage: Eukaryota; Viridiplantae; Streptophyta; Magnoliopsida; Poales; Poaceae. The record is from RNAcentral.
GGCCAUGAUAUGUGGAAUCAUAUUUGCAAUCACUUGAGACAUAUUUCUCAAUCGACGCUCAAAGAACUUUGGAUUCAUGUGUGCUUCGUGUGCAUAUUAAACUUUUUUCUAUCUUUUUUUUUCUUCGGUUGUUUGGAACAUGUCUAAACACUGAAAAAAUUGUGGUCCUGAUGACACUUAUGGAAGGGGUGUGCGCUUGCCAUGGCCCCUCAUUUUAAGCGUUGCUAGUUGCGAAACCACCUCUUACCUCAGUGCUCAUUUCUCGGUGACAAUUAUUGCUAGCAGAAUAUUUCUUUGACAUGUUUAGUUUUCGUGCUGAGAUCCAUCGAGUUCGAAGUUUGCAUCAAAUCCAGUAUUUUCAAAACAUCCGUCAUGCUAGUUGUACGCAUGACUUAGCUAUACUUUUUCACGGCUGGCAAAGGAAGCUACGUAGACACCAUUAAAAGUGCGUUAUUGGUGACACUUAUUGUAAGGGGUGCACGCGCAUGUCGUGCCCCCCACCUUAGGCGUUGCUAGUUGUGAAACCACCUUUGACCUCGGCGCUCAUUUCUUUGCGACGGUUAUUGUUAGCAGUGUUUUUUUUACAUGUGUUUGUUUUCAUGUGGAGAUUUGUCAAGUUCCAUGUCCUUAUU